Molecule: transfer RNA, 68 nt
Filed under: Neotoma lepida (desert woodrat)
Lineage: Eukaryota; Metazoa; Chordata; Mammalia; Rodentia; Cricetidae
Rfam family: tRNA
About the family: Transfer RNA (tRNA) molecules are approximately 80 nucleotides in length.
Source: Rfam by way of RNAcentral
GGAUGGGCUCAGUGGUUAAGAGUACUGGCUGUUCUUCCAGAGGACCUGGGUUCAAUUCCCAGCACCCA